UGGGCCUUUGGCUUCCUGUCACACAGCCGUGCGACAAGGGGCAGGUUUCUGAAGGACCAGAGAGAAAAGGGGUCUGUUGUUCUCGGGGGCACAGGCUUGCUGGUGGCAUCCCGCACAGACACUCUCUCCUCACAGCUCCCACCACGGGGACUGGAGGCAGGAGGAGCCGACGGGCCCCUGGAACGGCCGCGGUGCGUCCAGAGGUGGGAGCCGCAAGCCCGAGGAUCGGCCGAGUCCCAGGGGACCCUAACGGAGGCCGGGCUGGAAGGCCAAGGUGGCUGCCACGUGGGAAGGUAUCCUUGACGUCCAGACCCUGGAGAAGGAGUCGGGAGCCACCACCCAAAGCAACUGUCCAGGAAAAGUGGUCGCGCUUCAGCCAUCGCGCUGGGCUAGGUCUUCCAAGCGAACCCCCUGUUGGAGCCUCUGCCGUCUAACGUCACCUAAUGUAGCCGAACCUGCCAAGACCCUGGCUACUUCACUGGAACCCAGACCAGGGCGAUCCCCGAGUGUUGCGAGCCCACCUUCCUCUUCCUCGACGGUGGCUCCAGCCCCUUCAUGUCGCCUCCAAGCUCCUGCCCAAGUGUUCCCACCCGCACUGCUGGGAGCAGCUCCUCUGUGUUUUCAGGGCCACUUUGCUGUCGUCCUUUGAAGGUUCUCUUGGCGACUCUAGGAAGACUCCAUGGUACAGGUGACCUUCUGUAUCUGUGGAGGAUCGGUUCCCAGAUACCCCCGCCCACGGAUCCCAAAAUCCCAGGAGCCAAGCCUUGUCUAAAGUGCCGGAGUGCAGCCUGGCCUCCAGAACGCGUGAGAACAGAGCAGCCGUACUCUGUUUCCAACGAACCGAUGGCCAAAGCCCCGCUGUGCGUGUUCUCUAUGGACUGAACAGCCAGUGGCCCUGUAGCAGUGAAGCCUCACACCGUCCUCCAGGCUGGAAGGGACCCUUGAGUCACAGAACUUGCCAGUUUGCAAACAUGUCUCUAGUUGUAACAACUUUCAUCUGUCAAAUGAGGGCUCUUCAUUUCUAAGGUUCUAGAAGCCGGCCGUGGUCAUUUAGUCCCUCAGCUGGGUGUACUGAAAUCUGGGCCAGAGGCACAGCUUCCUCGCUAAGACACCCCCCCACCCCAGCACCCUGUACACACACACAGGCAGAGGCCAAGCUGCCUGCCUCCCCGCACCCCCUAGAAUGCUAACCACUGGGGACCGAGGGGCAGUUCCUACCUUUUACAUCCUUACAUACUGAAUCUGGCGCUGGCUCCUGGGCUGCAUCUUCUUAACUGCAAACACUCUAUACCAUCCCUCUCUGGUUCCACCAGCCACCACCCUCCUUCCGUGUCCUCCUCUGAACGUGCCUGAUAAAGGCUUUUGAGUGACUGAAUGAGUGGACGGCUCCCAUCUUCUGUCAUCUCAAUGAGUGCUGCUCCCCAGCUGACUGGAACCAGACGCCCUAGUUCCCAGGCUGGGUUUCCCUCCAGAUGUGUUCUCCUGCGGUGUCGGUUCCACCGUUAAACAGCUGUAUCGCUCAGCAGGUACGCAACGUUGAUGCGCCUCCAUUUCCUCCUCUGCAGAAUUGUGGGCGUUCCUGUCGUGGCUCAGCAGAAUCCGGCUUGUAUCCACGAGGAUGCGGGUUCUAUCCCUGGCCUCGCUCGGUGAAUCUGGGAUCCAGCCUUGCCGUGAGCUGUGGUGUAGGCCGGAAGCUGUAGCUCCAAUUUGACCCCUAGCCUGGAAACUUCCAUAUGCUGAGGGUUCGGCCUUAAAAACAACAACAACAACAAAAUAGUACUUACGUCAUAGGGUUGCUGUCAGCAUUAAAUGAGAGAGUCUGUUAAAAACGCCGAGAACAUUGCCUGGCAAUAUACAUUGCAGAAUACUCAAUAAAUAUUAGCUGGUGUUAUUUCAUACUUCAUCAAAC
Molecule: long non-coding RNA, 1909 nt
Filed under: Sus scrofa (pig)
Lineage: Eukaryota; Metazoa; Chordata; Mammalia; Artiodactyla; Suidae
Description: lncRNA (ENSSSCG00055022046.1)
Source: RNAcentral